Molecule: ribosomal RNA, 410 nt
Filed under: Vibrio sp. con23
Lineage: Bacteria; Pseudomonadati; Pseudomonadota; Gammaproteobacteria; Vibrionales; Vibrionaceae
Description: bacterial SSU rRNA
Rfam family: Bacterial small subunit ribosomal RNA
Source: RNAcentral
CACAUGCAAGUCGAGCGGAAACGAGUUAUCUGAACCUUCGGGGAACGAUAACGGCGUCGAGCGGCGGACGGGUGAGUAAUGCCUGGGAAAUUGCCCUGAUGUGGGGGAUAACUAUUGGAAACGAUAGCUAAUACCGCAUAACGUCUACGGACCAAAGAGGGGGACCUUCGGGCCUCUCGCUUCAGGAUAUGCCCAGGUGGGAUUAGCUAGUUGGUGAGGUAAUGGCUCACCAAGGCGACGAUCCCUAGCUGGUCUGAGAGGAUGAUCAGCCACACUGGAACUGAGACACGGUCCAGACUCCUACGGGAGGCAGCAGUGGGGAAUAUUGCACAAUGGGCGCAAGCCUGAUGCAGCCAUGCCGCGUGUAUGAAGAAGCCUUCGGGUUGUAAAGUACUUUCAGUCGUGAGGAA